AUGUGGAGGAUGAGGGCUGCAGUAGAUAACUCAGAUAGAGGGGAGUGAGGCCUAAGAGAGUUUUAUAAAUAGGCACCAACCACUGGGUCUUGCGACGGGUAUACAGAGAUGACCAGUUUACAAAGGAGCAUUGGUGGAAAAUCUGAUUGCCGAAUGGUAAAGAACAUCUAGCUGCUCGAGCGCACCCUUACCUGCCGAUCCAUAAAUUAAGUCUCCGUAAUCUAAAAUAGAUCAUCUACAAAAGCGAUCACAAGACCCCAGGGAAAAACAAAGGAGUAAGGUAAGUACAGAGGUAAUUGGCCAUGUUUAUCAUGCUACACAUGAUCACAGGUACAGACACACGCAUACGCAAACAAGCGCUAGCACACGCACUGUACACACACACAUACAUUGUAAUAUUGUUGUAUGGUGGUAUUAUACAUUUUGUAUUAUACAUGUUGUAUUGUAGAUAUGUAGCGGUGUAGUAAUGUUAUAUGAUGUACUGUUUUAUCUUUUGUUUUAUGUGUAAUGUAAGUGCCUAUAAUGUGUUUGGACCCCAGGAAGAGUAGCUGCAAGGCAGCAGCUAAUGGGGAUCCUCAAUAAAUACAAAUACACAAACUGUGCUGAGGUUGAGGAUCUUGAUGGGGUAGCUGAUAAUGACGAAGCGACAUCACUGUGAUACUGGGUAUGCAUGAGGAUAUUACAUUUGUGUCAGAUGUAUGCUUACAUCACAAUGAUAUAUCUGUGACGGUGGAUGUAUGUGAGGAAAAUGUGGUGUCAGACUCUAUCGAUCGUGGUUAUGCCGUUCAGGAAACCACUUGUGUUCCUGAACACAACUACAAUGUGAUGGAAUUACCCAGAACACUGAACCGCAACUUGAGGUCAGUAGGAGACAAACUGUAAACAUUUAUAAACAAGUUAAAAAUUGUAGAAGGAAAAAACACAUUUUCACUUUGUUACGUUUAGAUUUAUUGAAUGUGCACCAAUGACGGCAUCCUUUGUUCCACUGGUCUCUUUACCGCAUGUUAUGUUCUUAACUAACAUCGUCUUUGUCUGCUGACAACCCACUCAUUGUCGGUACCUUGACGCGGUGAGUGGGGUUCAAACCAAGACAGACCAUUCAUUUAUCAUUUCUUUCAAAUGCUCACAUAAUCACCUGUGUGUGUGUGUGUGCCCUUUCCCUCUCCCUUCUGCAGGUGUGACUGUCACAGCUGCAACAUAACUAUUCAACAUGACAGAGUGAGUAGUUAUUAGAAAUUGAGUGUGAAUUGAACUAUGAACUAUGAAUACUGCUCCAGUGUUAAUGUUAUUAUGUGCCAUGGAUGUGCUGUGUUUUGGUAGCUUUCAUUAUAUUCAGGUGACCUGACUCGGACGCAGUGGCAGCCCUACCCACCUGGUGGCCUGUAAUUGGCUGGUAUCUUAUCUGCAAUAAGAAUGGAGGCAACAGAGACAAUGGCAGGACGCCUCCCAGGAGGAAGCCCUGUAAAGAGGGACACAUUUUAUCCAUACUUCCUCAUUGGCGUGACUGUCAUGUAGCGUUUCUGUUCACAUGCCACUUAUCUGAGCUCCUCGUGUGUAUUCCAGUCUCAUGACACCCAAAGCAACACUGCCACCACUGCUGCACCUUCAGACAACCCUUCACUAGCUACUCACGUAAACAGGGAGGACCUUUUCAUAUUCCUUCAUUAGUGUGACAGCUAACAUUGUUAAUCACAUGCCAUUUAUCCUAUUCCACUUGUGUGUUCUAGGCUGCCUGUCGUGAUUUAUUUAAAAUUCAAUGAACACUUAACCAGCAUGGCUACCACAGCAUUAUGCAGCUAUAUGCCAUCCUAUCUGGUUUGCGUUUAGUGGGACUAUCAUUUGUUUUUCAACAGGACAAUGACCUAACACACCUCCAGUCUGUAACGGCUAUUUGACCAAGAAGGAGAGUGAUGGAGUGCUGCAAGAGAUGACCUGGCCUCCACAAUCACCCACCUCAACCCAAUUGAGAUGGUUUGGGAUGAGUUGGACUGCAGAGUGAAGGAAAAGAAGCCAAGAAGUGCUCAGCAUAUGUGGGAACUCCUUCAAGACUGUUAGAAAAGCAUUCUGGGUUCUGCUGGUUGAGAGAAUACCAAGAGUAUGCAAAGCUAUCAAGGCAAAUGGUAACUACUUAAAUAAUCUAAAAUCUAAAAUAUAUUUUGAUUUGUUUAACACUUUUUUUGGUUACUACAUGAUUCCAUAUGUGUUAUUUCAUAGUUGUGAUGUCUUCACUAUUAUUCUACAAUGUAGAAAAUAGUUUUUUUUAAAUGGAAAAACCCUUGAAUAAGUAGGUGUCCAAACGUUUGACUAGUACUGUAGAUUAAAAAAACUACCAGCCACUCAGAUUUGUUAUCCCCCUCCCCCCACACAAAACAAAAAGUUGAGUCUGC
Long non-coding RNA from Oncorhynchus tshawytscha (Chinook salmon), 2387 nucleotides. Lineage: Eukaryota; Metazoa; Chordata; Actinopteri; Salmoniformes; Salmonidae. The record is from Ensembl.